This 460-nucleotide ribosomal RNA is filed under the name uncultured bacterium. RNAcentral describes it as "partial 16S ribosomal RNA". It matches the Rfam family "Bacterial small subunit ribosomal RNA", at positions 338 to 795 of the family's 1533-position model. The record is from RNAcentral.
CCUACGGGAGGCAGCAGUGAGGAAUAUUGGUCAAUGGCCGUAAGGCUGAACCAGCGACGUCGCGUGAGGGAAGAAGGAUCUAUGGUUUGUAAGCUUCUUUUGUAGGGGAAUAAAGGUCUCCACGUGUGGAUCUUUGCAUGUACCCUAUGAAUAAGCAUCGGCUAACUCCGUGCCAGCAGCCGCGGUAAUACGGAGGAUGCGAGCGUUAUCCGGAUUUAUUGGGUUUAAAGGGUGCGUAGGUUGUUUUUUAAGUCAGCGGUGAAAGUUUGGGGCUCAACCAUAAAAUUGCCGUUGAAACUGGAAGACUGGAGUGUGUGUGAGGUAGGCGGAAUGCGUGGUGUAGCGGUGAAAUGCAUAGAUAUCACGCAGAACUCCGAUUGCGAAGGCAGCUUACUAAGCCAUAACUGACAUUGAAGCACGAAAGCGUGGGGAUCAAACAGGAUUAGAUACCCUAGUAGUC